UGGGGAAUAUUGCACAAUGGGCGAAAGCCUGAUGCAGCAACGCCGCGUGAGUGAUGAAGGCCUUCGGGUUGUAAAGCUCUGUCUUCUGGGACGAUAAUGACGGUACCAGAGGAGGAAGCCACGGCUAACUACGUGCCAGCAGCCGCGGUAAUACGUAGGUGGCAAGCGUUGUCCGGAUUUACUGGGCGUAAAGGAUGCGUAGGCGGAUACUUAAGUCAGAUGUGAAAAUCCCGGGCUUAACUUGGGAACUGCAUUUGAAACUGGGUAGCUAGAGUGCGGGAGAGGAAAGUGGAAUUCCUAGUGUAGCGGUGAAAUGCGUAGAGAUUAGGAAGAACACCAGUGGCGAAGGCGACUUUCUGGACCGUAACUGACGCUGAGGCAUGAAAGCGUGGGGAGCAAAC
This 401-nucleotide ribosomal RNA is filed under the name uncultured bacterium. RNAcentral describes it as "bacterial SSU rRNA". It matches the Rfam family "Bacterial small subunit ribosomal RNA", at positions 355 to 773 of the family's 1533-position model. The record is from RNAcentral.